GAACGCGUCAUGUCACGUGAUAUCGAGGUGACUGUGACGAUGUGAAAAGGCUGAACGCUAUUGGCUGAAAUCGUUUCGAAUAUUUUUAUGCGCGGUGACUUGACUUAUCACUCUGCUGAGGCUUCGAUGAAACUCUGUGCAUAACAGAAUGUCUGCGGUAAACAACUCCAAUUUUCAAUAGAUAGAAUAAGUGGGUGGGCACAGUUUGUGUUGAACUUGUCCCAAGCUACAAUAUGUGGAAAACUUACAUUGUGUGGAGAGGUCUGGAGGUUUAAGCUUGCUGGUACAGGAUGUUGAUUUUCUUGAAAAUGAAGAUGAUCACAGUAUUGGGACCUAUAAGUGGAUAAUAGCAGAGGAACUAAAUGAGAGAAAUAUAGCAGAUGAGCAGUGCUGCAGUGAACAACUCAUAGAUUGUAAGUCCAUUCCAAUGAUGAACUCUGGAUUAUCACCAGAUCACAGUUCGAAUGAAAGCUUAAAUACACAAAAGCCAUGGCAGUGAUGGACUCUUUGUUACAGGAUUUUCAAUCUACAAAUACCAUUAGAUAGCAGAAAAGCUUGACAUUCAUUACAGCAUGCCUACUGCUCCUGCCAAAUGAAGAAUUCCCAUUCAAAAAACAAAAAAGGCGUACCUUGACUUUCUCAUUACGACUGUAUUUAUUUGCGACCUUUAGUAGUCAAUUUCGCCGAAUAUUUACUGUUUUAAUAAAUUGUUUAAAGCUUGAAAACCUGUUGUGGUUUCAUGCUUCCUUUGGGUGGUUAUAGUACGUUUCCAGGCUUGCAAGAAGGUUGAUCUUCCUAUCGAUUUGGGUGGGGUUGUUAGGGUGGAAAUGUUAAACACCUACCCAAAGGGUGGAAGAAGUAGAAAACCUUGUGAACCAA
Styela clava is the source of this 879-nucleotide non-coding RNA. The record is from RefSeq and is a predicted model, not a curated record. Lineage: Eukaryota; Metazoa; Chordata; Ascidiacea; Stolidobranchia; Styelidae.